This 253-nucleotide ribosomal RNA is filed under the name uncultured bacterium. RNAcentral's name for it is "partial 16S ribosomal RNA". It matches the Rfam family "Bacterial small subunit ribosomal RNA", at positions 524 to 776 of the family's 1533-position model. The record is from RNAcentral.
UACAGAGGGGGCAAGCGUUAUUCGGAAUUAUUGGGCGUAAAGGGCGCGUAGGCGGUCGUGCAAGUGGAAGGUGAAAUCCCUCGGCUCAACCGAGGAACUGCCUUUCAAACUGCAUGACUUGAGUCCGGGAGAGGUGAGUGGAAUUCCCAGUGUAGCGGUGAAAUGCGUAGAUAUUGGGAGGAACACCAGUGGCGAAGGCGGCUCACUGGACCGGAACUGACGCUGAGGCGCGAAAGCGUGGGGAGCAAACAGG